AUACCUCAUUCUAGCCAUCUUCUAAGCCAAAAAUCAAAGCAACCAAACUUUCUUCUCCCUCCCUUUAGGCUACAGCAAUGGAGGAGAAGAAAAGACCCAACUUUGUUUUUUUUUCUCACCCUUUUAAUUAUUUAAUUCCUCUUAUAAUUUAUGACAUAUAAUAACUUGAUUUAUUAUAAAACUAUUUGAUAUUAUUUAACUAAAAUAUAACAAACAAAAUGCCAAAAUGUGUCAUUC
Molecule: long non-coding RNA, 237 nt
Filed under: Gossypium barbadense (sea-island cotton)
Lineage: Eukaryota; Viridiplantae; Streptophyta; Magnoliopsida; Malvales; Malvaceae
Description: long non-coding RNA (GBAR_LNC003148)
Source: RNAcentral